CCCAGUUGUGUGUCUACGCCGAGGCAUGAACCCUUUCAUUCAUUCUGGCUUUUAGCCAGAGGUGUUCUAAUUGGACUUGUCCGCGCAGCCCUUUGACUUAUUCAGUCUUAUUGGUCCCCUACUAUUGGCACGAUCCUGAUGUUUCACAGAAACUAAUUCGUUUUAAACUAGUGGCAGGCCAGUGGGGGACCGUAUCCUGCAAGAGUCGGAUUUUGAAAAGAUUAAUUGCUCUUCCGGAGAUUAGCCCCGUCAAGGCUGGCUUUAAAUGCUCCUACUAUAGAUUCCCAUAGUACUACGC
Molecule: long non-coding RNA, 298 nt
Filed under: Homo sapiens (human)
Lineage: Eukaryota; Metazoa; Chordata; Mammalia; Primates; Hominidae
Description: non-protein coding lnc-IARS2-5:1
Source: RNAcentral